GACGAACGCUGGCGGCGUGCUUAACACAUGCAAGUCGAACGGAAAGGCCCUGCUUUUGUGGGGUGCUCGAGUGGCGAACGGGUGAGUAACACGUGAGUAACCUGCCCUUGACUUUGGGAUAACUUCAGGAAACUGGGGCUAAUACCGGAUAGGAGCUCCUGCUGCAUGGUGGGGGUUGGAAAGUUUCGGCGGUUGGGGAUGGACUCGCGGCUUAUCAGCUUGUUGGUGGGGUAGUGGCUUACCAAGGCUUUGACGGGUAGCCGGCCUGAGAGGGUGACCGGCAACGUGGGGCCUGAGAUCCGCCCCAGCCUCCGCCGGGGGCAGCAGGGGGGGAUUUUGACAGAGUGGGGGGAGCCUUGUUGCAGCAACGCCCCGGGCGGUAUGACGCCUUUCGGGUGUGAACCCUCUUCCCCCGGUGAAGAGGGGUAAGUGACGUUAAUGGAUAAAGAAACCCCGGCUAACUACGUG
RNAcentral lists this ribosomal RNA (468 nucleotides) under uncultured bacterium. RNAcentral describes it as "partial 16S ribosomal RNA". It matches the Rfam family "Bacterial small subunit ribosomal RNA", at positions 28 to 507 of the family's 1533-position model. The record is from RNAcentral.